GGGGAAGACCCCAAUUGUGGGGGGGGGGUUGAGGGGGGAGACCCCAUUAGGUGCCAUUUGGGGUCAUUGGCUGCCAUUUAGGCCAUUAAACCCAUUUUUGGGUCAAAAAAGGCUGAUUUUGGUUCACUUUGUUGUCAGAGCUCCCGUCCCAACCGAGUUUGACUUUGAGGAUGAACCCACAGCGCCACGGAGUGAGCUCAUGGAGAGACGCAGAGCACCAGGCAGCGCCGCCCGUCGUCGCCGCGAGGCCCGUUUGGACAAAGUCCUUUGGGACAUGCAACGCCACCGGAGACUGGAGGAACAGAUCCUACGGACAGGCCGGGACCUAUUUCCACCCACCAAAUACUGAAAAAACCCAAAAAACCCCAUUUUUAUGGCCCAAAAAGCUCCUUUUUCACCCCAAAAAGAGACUUUUAGGCCUAACUAGGCCUCAUGAGGCCUAACUAGGCCGCGUUGUCGCCUCUUGAUGACGUCAUAGCUGCGACUUCCUGUUUUAGCCCCGCCUCUUCCUGUUGAGGCCGCCAUCUUGUCCCUCACAAAUACUGAUAAACCCCCACAAAAACGCCAUUAUUAUGCCCAAAUAAACAACUUUUUCACCCCCA
RNAcentral lists this long non-coding RNA (602 nucleotides) under Coturnix japonica (Japanese quail). Its description in RNAcentral is "lncRNA (ENSCJPG00005005878.1)". Lineage: Eukaryota; Metazoa; Chordata; Aves; Galliformes; Phasianidae. The record is from RNAcentral.